Molecule: ribosomal RNA, 864 nt
Filed under: Tremellochaete japonica
Lineage: Eukaryota; Fungi; Basidiomycota; Agaricomycetes; Auriculariales; Auriculariaceae
Description: eukaryotic LSU rRNA
Rfam family: Eukaryotic large subunit ribosomal RNA
Source: RNAcentral
UCCCCUAGUAACGGCGAGUGAAGAGGGAAGAGCUCAAAUUUGAAAUCUGGCGGUCUACGGCCGUCCGAGUUGUAAUCUAGAGAGGUGUUUUCCGUGCCGGACCGUGUACAAGUCCCUUGGAACAGGGCGUCAUAGAGGGUGAGAAUCCCGUCCAUGACACGGACUCCCGGUGCUCUGUGAUACACCUUCAAAGAGUCGAGUUGUUUGGGAAUGCAGCUCAAAACGGGUGGUAAAUUCCAUCUAAAGCUAAAUACAGGCGAGAGACCGAUAGCGAACAAGUACCGUGAGGGAAAGAUGAAAAGAACUUUGGAAAGAGAGUUAAACAGUACGUGAAAUUGUUGAAAGGGAAACGCUUGAAGUCAGUCGCGUUUGCCAGGACUCAGCCUUGCUUUUGCUUGGUGCACUUCCUGGUGGAUGGGCCAGCAUCGAUUUUGGUCGCCGGAAAAGGGCGGGAGGAAUGUGGCAGCUUGCUGUGUUAUAGCCUCCCGUCGUACACGGUGGUUGGGAUCGAGGACUGCAGCACGCCUUUUGGUCGGGGUUCGCCCACGCCACGUGCUUAGGAUGCUGGCGUAAUGGCUUUAAACGACCCGUCUUGAAACACGGACCAAGGAGUCUAACAUGCCUGCGAGUGUUUGGGUGUCAAACCCAGGCGCGUAAUGAAAGUGAAAAGUUGGGACUCUUUAGUGAGGCACCGACGCCCGAUCCUGACGUUUUCUGACGGAUUUGAGGCAGAGCAUGUAUGUUGGGACCCGAAAGAUGGUGAACUAUGCCUGAAUAGGGUGAAGCCAGAGGAAACUCUGGUGGAGGCUCGUAGCGAUUCUGACGUGCAAAUCGAUCGUCAAAUUUGGGUAUAGGGGCGAAAGA